RNAcentral lists this long non-coding RNA (2118 nucleotides) under Homo sapiens (human). RNAcentral's name for it is "HSALNT0301542". The record is from RNAcentral. Lineage: Eukaryota; Metazoa; Chordata; Mammalia; Primates; Hominidae.
GAGUUGCUUUAUAAUUAAUUAUUUUUGUCUUUCUAUAAUUUUAUAGUUGAUUGAUUUUUAAAAAGACAAGAGGGUUGCCUAAGUUGGGUGGACUAUAGUACAAGUAUGGUUCUUGCACUUUUAAAACUGUAGAAGCUGGACACGAUGGUAUGCACCUGUAGUCCCAGCUACUUUGACUGUGGAGGCAGGAGGAUCACUUGACAGUUUGAGACCAGCCUGGGCAAUGUAGUGAGCCCCCCAAAACCCUCUAAACAAACAAACAAAUCUGCAGAAUAUUUCAGCAUCACUCUACACUUUCCUAGAAUAUCAACAUACCUGAUAAUGAAGUAGAAAGAGUUCCAAAUUGAUGAUUGAGUGUUGGGUUCUAGUUCUAUUUCUGCCACUAAUUAGUUCUCUGAACUUAAGUGUUUCAUGUCAUAUUGAAACUUUCUCAUUUGUAAAAUGUGGAGGGGAUCUCUUAAGUGCUUUCUAGUUUCAAAGUACUUUGAUACUGUGACUUUAUUUUGUAGAGGUUCUGGUGUCAUUUAUUUUUAAUAGCUACAUGAAUAAUGUAGAGAUACUAUCUUUUGAUUUCAACUUCACAUACAUGGAAAUGAAAGUCUUGUUAUUUAACACAAAAGGAAAUUUAAUUUGCAUUAUUUAAUGCAGUUAAUAUUACCUAAAAUGUUGAACUUAAGCUUUUCUACUUUAAGUGCCUUUAAAAGUUUUGUAUUUGGAAUCUAAAAUAUAAAGGAAAUUCUUAUGUAGCUCUAUACAGUUGCUUCUUUAUUAUAUAGUUUUGAGUGUUUUGUAGCAACUUUUUUUUUUUUAACCUUAGAUUGCACAGAGCAGCAUAUUCAUGGAUUCUUCACUAUUCCGCUAGUGAAUCCUUGAGAAAUGUAUGUUAAAGAUUAGCUCACUGAGCAGAGCUUGCAGUGCUCAAUAUUAAAGAAUAAAAUUACAGACCUUUACCAAGUUGUGUACUCAUUUGCAAAUCAGCUGAGGAGCACUCUCAAGAAAGUAACAGAUGGAUUGUUUUAAAAAAAGAGAGACACUGAAAUUUUUGAUCAUGGGAAUUUUGUCAUGUUCAAUGAAAAGUAAUGUUCUGUCAAAUGAAAAUAAUGAGGUUCAUAAAUGGGAAUAUAUAAGACAAAAAUAUGAAUAGCCAAAAUACGUUUAAAAAAUCUAAACUAUUGAACAUAAAUUAAAUUGGUUAUCCCUGGGAAAAGAUACUGUAUAUUUUAAUGAUCUCUGUGUAUUUGGGAACUAUAGCAGUAAAUGCAAAGAUACAUCUUGCCUGUCUCUCCCGGUUUUAAGUUAAUUGACACAGAUAUUUCAAUAGUAGUAUUACUCGUUAAAAUUCUGCAAUACUUAUUACCUGGUAUCAUUUAAAAAGAUAUUUUCUCUAAGAUAAAAGAUACUAAUGAAGAUAGAAGACACCAAUCUGUUUCCAUCCUCCUUUUCUCUCUUGCAUUUUCCCUUCUGUGUAUUAGAAACAAUAACAAAGGCCUGCUUUUAUAGUCUUGACAAAUCGUUUCUUACCUGAAAGGAACUUGGGUUUUCUCUUUUUAAGCUAGCUCUUAGUCUGUAGCUUCUGAUAGCAAGUAAUCUCUUCAUUCUCUAGUAUCCUUUGCCAUGACUUAAAAAUGGAGACUAUAGCUUAAUUGAUUGAAUACUCUGACCUAGCAGUCCCAUGUUUGAGUGCAGGGAUGGUGUUGGGCAUUUUAUCCCCUGGUAGUGAUAUUCUAGAAUGCUUUAUGUUCCUACCCCCUAAAAAAUCCUCCAAAUCCUUCAUAUUCUCAAGUAGCACUUAUAACUUUAGCAUUAUUGCCUAACACAACAGUUCUACCAUUAAUCAUACUACAUGUUCAUCCUUCUAAAUGUCAUUAUCAAUUUAGGUAGCCUGUAAGAGUAUUGAAUUUAAGGAAAAGGGUGAAGGGAAGAUAAAACCAUUUAUAUAAAAGUGCUGGGUUUCAUUGCUUGUGGUAAAUAAUGUUUUAAUUUUUUGCCAAGUGAAAACAAAUCUUUAAAAGGAAAGGAAAACAAUUAUUUUAUGGAAAUAUUUUGUAAACAUGUAUGUAAAGACAUUGUUUUCUUUGCCACCAACAAAUUGUUAAUAAAAAAGUUUUUUUUUAGUUU